GUCGGCAACGACCACCCAGGGCCGGAAAGUUGGUCAAACCCGGUCAUUUAGAGGAAGUAAAAGUCGUAACAAGGUCUCCGUAGGUGAACCUGCGGAGGGAUCAUU
RNAcentral lists this ribosomal RNA (105 nucleotides) under Cladosporium sphaerospermum. RNAcentral's name for it is "partial 18S ribosomal RNA". It matches the Rfam family "Eukaryotic small subunit ribosomal RNA", at positions 1727 to 1830 of the family's 1831-position model. The record is from RNAcentral. Lineage: Eukaryota; Fungi; Ascomycota; Dothideomycetes; Cladosporiales; Cladosporiaceae.